GAUGAACGCUGGCGGCGUGCUUAACACAUGCAAGUCGAACGGAAAGGCUCCUGCUUGCAGGGGUACUCGAGUGGCGAACGGGUGAGUAACACGUGGGUGAUCUGCCCUGCACUUCGGGAUAAGCCUGGGAAACUGGGUCUAAUACCGGAUAGGACGAUGGUUUGGAUGCCAUUGUGGAAAGUUUUUCGGUGUGGGAUGAGCUCGCGGCCUAUCAGCUUGUUGGUGGGGUAAUGGCCUACCAAGGCGUCGACGGGUAGCCGGCCUGAGAGGGUGUACGGCCACAUUGGGACUGAGAGACGGACCAGACGCGUACGGGAGGCAGCAGUGGGGAAGAUUGCAGAAUGGGCGCAAGCCUGAUGCAGAGACGCCGCGUGGGGGAUGACGGCCUUCGGGUUGUAAACACCUUUCGAUAGGGACGAAGCGCAAGUGACGGUACCUGGAGAAGAAGCACCGGCUAACUACGUG
This 465-nucleotide ribosomal RNA is filed under the name uncultured bacterium. Its description in RNAcentral is "partial 16S ribosomal RNA". It matches the Rfam family "Bacterial small subunit ribosomal RNA", at positions 28 to 507 of the family's 1533-position model. The record is from RNAcentral.